This is a long non-coding RNA of Catharus ustulatus (Swainson's thrush), 395 nucleotides long. RefSeq lists it as uncharacterized. NCBI's taxonomy places the organism in Eukaryota, Metazoa, Chordata, Aves, Passeriformes, Turdidae. The record is from RefSeq and is a predicted model, not a curated record. The transcript is spliced from 3 exons.
AUAAAACGCCCAUAAAUUGCUUUUAUUCAGCUGUGUGUACAAAACUCCACGGACUUCUAGGUGACUUGACUUUUGAGCAAGAACUUUUUUUUUUUUUCCCCGAGGAUGUGGAUACACAUGAGCACAUGGACAUGCUGUGUUUGCAGCUAUUGCAUCAUACUUCUUGAGGUUCUGAAGAAGUUUUGAGGUCCUCCAUGGAAGAUGAACUGAUGGGCAGGUAAUAAGAAGAACCAUUCUAACAUGGAAAAAAAUACAAGACUUUAACAUGGCAUCUGUGAAUCCUCAUGUCUCCGUGAUGAUCUGGAGAACUUGGUCACUGGCACAGGAUGAAGGAGUAAGCCCACCUGUUUUUAGUCUAUGCAGGACUUCAGACUGUCAUGUAUCAGUAACACACU